GGACUCUAUUGAGGCCCCGUAAUCGGAAUGAGUACACUUUAAAUCCUUUAACAAGGAUCCAUUGGAGGGCAAGUCUGGUGCCAGCAGCCGCGGUAAUUCCAGCUCCAAUAGCGUAUAUUAAAGUUGUUGCGGUUAAAAAGCUCGUAGUUGGUUCUGCGUGCCACGCUGUCGGUUCGCCGCCUGUCGGUGUAACUGGCAUGUCGUGGCAUGUCCUGUCGGUGGUGAACGGAGUCCCCUUUACGACGUAGGCUUUUACAGCUGAAAUCUGUAUUGUGGUGUGUUCCCGUUUGCCGAUCUCUCCUACUCCGGUGCUCUUAAACGAGUGUCGAGGUAGGCCGACACGUUCACUUUGAACAAAUUAGAGUGCUUAAAGCAGGCUAAAAUAUCCGCCUGAAUAGUGGUGCAUGGAAUGAUAAAACAGGACCUCAGUUCUAUUUUGUUGGUUUUAGGAAUAUGAGGUAAUGAUCAAUGUGGACUGGCGGGGGCAUUCGUAUUGCGACGUUAGAGGUGAAAUUCUUGGAUCGUCGCAAGACGCACUAGAGCGAAAGCAUUUGCCAAGUAUGUCUUAAUUGAUCAAGAACGAAAGUUAGAGGUUCGAAGGCGAUCAGAUACCGCCCUAGUUCUAACCAUAAACGAUGCCAGCCAGCGAUCCGC
This 654-nucleotide ribosomal RNA is filed under the name Reduviidae sp. 3 CK-2021. RNAcentral describes it as "SSU rRNA". It matches the Rfam family "Eukaryotic small subunit ribosomal RNA", at positions 488 to 1057 of the family's 1831-position model. The record is from RNAcentral. Lineage: Eukaryota; Metazoa; Arthropoda; Insecta; Hemiptera; Reduviidae.